RNAcentral lists this unclassified non-coding RNA (230 nucleotides) under plant metagenome. Its description in RNAcentral is "partial contains small subunit ribosomal RNA, internal transcribed spacer 1, and 5.8S ribosomal RNA". The record is from RNAcentral.
GUCUCCGUAGGUGAACCUGCGGAGGGAUCAUUACAGAGUUCUCGCCCUCGCGGGUAGAUCUCCCACCCACUGUUAUCGUUACUGUGUUGCUUUGGCGGGCCGCCGGGCCCCGCUCGGCCGCCGGCUCCGGCUGGCGCGCGCCCGCCAGAGGCCCAGCAAACUCUGAAUGUUAGUGUCGUCUGAGUACUAUAUAAUAGUUAAAACUUUCAACAACGGAUCUCUUGGUUCUG